This 497-nucleotide long non-coding RNA is filed under the name Mytilus galloprovincialis (Mediterranean mussel). Lineage: Eukaryota; Metazoa; Mollusca; Bivalvia; Mytilida; Mytilidae. The record is from RNAcentral.
UCUAAGGAUUCAUUUGGUUUAAUGAUUUUAAUCGGAACAAGACUAUUACUAUGCUAUUCUCCUGUAAUCCUUCUCCAGAUGAUAUUAAAAUAGAUCAAGAUUCCAACAAUCUGGAACAUGUCGUUCAGUUGGAAGCAGGAAGAUUAGUAACUGGGUUGCCUGUGUUCGCUAGUCCGGAAGUUAUAUAUAUUUUCAGUGGUACAGGCAGACAUUUGCUAGUGGACAGAAGAAAAUCUAAAAAGCUGAAUACGUUCUAUUCUUCACAUGAAGUGGGACUGCCUCUACGAUUUAAUGCCAAUUUUUCAGUUAUAGAUAGAAUAUCAGAAAAUCCUUUUUUUUUCAUCUACUACUAUCGAAUGAAAUAGCCUAAACUCUGACAUAUGUACGUCCAGAAAUAUGAAUAAUUAUAUUUAUCUAACUUGACACAGACACAAUUGCACGUCACUCUUUAUUAUUAAGGACAGUUGAUUGGAUAAAAGUGAUGGAUUGCCACGCCU